UCGAGCAUUACCUCGAGUAAGUGGUGAAUUCUUUGCAGUUACCGAAAUGUUCAUCUCAUCAUCAAAACACCGUGUAACUAUAAGACGUUGUUUUGCAGUGAGCAUUAUAACAUGAUUACAAGGGAACUCACAACCAACACUGCGCGCAGGCACGAGGCUCAAUUUCCCGGGUGGUUCAAGAAACAUGUAUGUAUUUCUCUUGCAUAAUGUACAAACAACCUUUUAAUGAGAGGCACCCCGGUUGGUGUGCAUUACAUUUGAAUCCGACAUAAAAGAUAGUCAACUUUAAUUGACUAUAAUCACGUUGUCUAAAAUAAAAACCAACAGCAAGGAUAUUAUUAUAUAAUUAUAGUUGUAUCUCCUAUUUUGCAAGCAUGAUUGGAUUUGUUGUUUGCUUGGACAAUAGAUUCGAGAGAAGCGUGCAAUGGAUCCAACCAGUGUACGAGAUGAAAUAUAUGCACUUGCAUGUGGUCCCGACAAGUGGGUUGCGUCAUACGCUGGUUGCAUAAUGAAUGGAAUUAGGUUUCAAACAAAGGAUCGAGAGAGGCACCGGCGAACGCAAAAUAGCGGUUUGGUUGUCCGAGGUGAACAUCAAUCAAAUCCCAUAGACUUCUAUGGGGUGUUGAAUGAUAUCAUAGAAUUACGAUAUAUGGGUUGGCGUAAGGUGUAUUUGUUUCAUUGUGAUUGGUGGGAUGUUGGUGAUAAGCGAAGAGGGAUUCGCGUUGGGGACCAUCUAACCAGCCUGAACACGUCUACAACAUGGUAUAAAGAUGAGCCUUUUGCUCUUGCUUGCCAAGCGCAGCAAGUGUUUUAUGUAAAAGACGUGAGUGUGGCGGGUAGUUGGUAUGUGGUCCAUAAGAUAACGAAUAGAAAUGUAUACAACAUCCCUUUAGUAUCAGCAGCUGAGGUGGCGGAUGAUGGUGCCGAUUCUGGUGAGGAUGACGCUUUACAGGAGGAUGAAAACAUCCCGACAAACGUGCCGUAUGCCCAAAGCAAUGACCUAGACUUGAUGACCCCGUUGAAUAGGGUAGAUGAAGAACCAUUGCUGCUUGACCCUUCGAUCAUGCUAGAACAGCAACCAUCUGAACUACCUGACCACGAGGAAUACGUCGAGGAUGCCGAAGGAGUUGAUGAUGAGCUGGGAGUUGACGAUGCCUCCACUAAUAGUGCGGACAGCGAAGAAGACAGUAUUGCAGAAGCCGAUUAGAAGUCAAUCAGCUUCAGAUGAUGGUUUUGCAUGUGGAGGUGAAGGACUAGAGUUGGGGUAAUGGGGUCAUGAUGACAAACUUGGUGUCAAUAGGAGUACAAGAACACAUAAACUAUCAUUUACCCCAGAUACACAAUCAGAGUAAAGGUCCAACUUUCAGUAGAGUGGAGGGAAAGUGGGACAGAAAGGAGGUGAUCUGGAAGGUUCCUUAGAGGAAGACAAGCUAUUCAAGCACUCCAACGUGGGCUGUAACAAAGAACCAGGAAUACACACCAGGUUCAGCACAUAUAUUUCACACAUAUAUUUUCAAUGGUGAGAUGGGUAAGAGGACGAUGGCGCGGACCAGGUGGAAUACAUAGAGCAGGAGGCAUACGUGUCCAACAACGUCCACUUUUGAGUGAUAUACAAGAUAGGGAACACGAAGUACAUUCGGACGAUUCAACUCAACCACCAAAUGUUGGUGGUGAUGAGACAGUGGAAGCUAUAGCAAAUGAGGCUGAAAGGGUUGUGAGCACUGAACAUAAUGAAGCUUUGCCAACUCGAAAACGUGGUCGGGGACCAGCAAAAGACACGCUUUUUGAACGCAUUCGGAAAUUUGGGAAAAUACCUCUGAAUAUUAAGGAUGGACAAAGAGGUCCAUGUUGUGAGAAUUACAACAUAUUUUCUGG
This is an RNA transcript of Carya illinoinensis, 1875 nucleotides long. RefSeq lists it as uncharacterized. The transcript is spliced from 6 exons. The record is from RefSeq and is a predicted model, not a curated record. Lineage: Eukaryota; Viridiplantae; Streptophyta; Magnoliopsida; Fagales; Juglandaceae.